Molecule: transfer RNA, 77 nt
Filed under: Gammaproteobacteria bacterium
Lineage: Bacteria; Pseudomonadati; Pseudomonadota; Gammaproteobacteria
Description: tRNA-Arg
Rfam family: tRNA
About the family: Transfer RNA (tRNA) molecules are approximately 80 nucleotides in length. Their secondary structure includes four short double-helical elements and three loops (D, anti-codon, and T loops).
Source: RNAcentral
GCCUUUGUAGCUCAGUUGGAUAGAGCAUUCGCCUCCUAAGCGAAGGGUCGUGAGUUCAAAUCUCGCCAAGGGCACCA